Molecule: ribosomal RNA, 474 nt
Filed under: uncultured bacterium
Lineage: Bacteria
Description: bacterial SSU rRNA
Rfam family: Bacterial small subunit ribosomal RNA
Source: RNAcentral
GCCCUCGGGUUGUAAAGCACUUUCAGCGAGGAAGAACGCCUAGUGGUUAAUACCCAUUAGGAAAGACAUCACUCGCAGAAGAAGCACCGGCUAACUCCGUGCCAGCAGCCGCGGUAAUACGGAGGGUGCAAGCGUUAAUCGGAAUUACUGGGCGUAAAGCGCGCGUAGGUGGCUUGAUAAGCCGGUUGUGAAAGCCCCGGGCUCAACCUGGGAACGGCAUCCGGAACUGUCAAGCUAGAGUGCAGGAGAGGAAGGUAGAAUUCCCGGUGUAGCGGUGAAAUGCGUAGAGAUCGGGAGGAAUACCAGUGGCGAAGGCGGCCUUCUGGACUGACACUGACACUGAGGUGCGAAAGCGUGGGUAGCAAACAGGAUUAGAUACCCUGGUAGUCCACGCCGUAAACGAUGUCGACCAGCCGUUGGGUGCCUAGCGCACUUUGUGGCGAAGUUAACGCGAUAAGUCGACCGCCUGGGGAG